UUCGCAAUGCCCGAAAGGGUCUGACCUAUCCCUGGAGGAAGCACGGGCUAAGUUCGUGCCAGCAGCCGCGGUAAGACGAACCGUGCUAACGUUGUUCGGAUUCACUGGGCUUAAAGGGCGCGUAGGCGGCUUGUCAAGUCAGGGGUGAAAUCUUUCGGCUCAACCGGAAAAUUGCUUCUGAUACUGGCAGGCUGGAGGGAGGUAGGGGCAGGUGGAACUUCCGGUGGAGCGGUGAAAUGCGUAGAUAUCGGAAGGAACGCCGGUGGCGAAAGCGACCUGCUGGACCUCUUCUGACGCUGAGGCGCGAAAGCCAGGGGAGCAAACGGGAUUAGAUACCCCGGUAGUCCUGGCCCUAAACGAUGGGCACUAAGUAGAGGGGUUUUAAUC
This 387-nucleotide ribosomal RNA is filed under the name uncultured Planctomycetota bacterium. Its description in RNAcentral is "bacterial SSU rRNA". It matches the Rfam family "Bacterial small subunit ribosomal RNA", at positions 444 to 836 of the family's 1533-position model. The record is from RNAcentral. Lineage: Bacteria; Pseudomonadati; Planctomycetota.